AUGCUUGCCUGGGUAGCAUAUAUACUAAAAUUGACAUGAUACAGGAAAGAUUAGCACAGCCUCAAUACCAAGAUGACAUGCUAAUCUGUGAUGUGCUCUGUAGUAGU
This is a small nuclear RNA of Protopterus annectens (West African lungfish), 107 nucleotides long. NCBI's taxonomy places the organism in Eukaryota, Metazoa, Chordata, Ceratodontiformes, Protopteridae. The record is from RefSeq and is a predicted model, not a curated record.